GACGAACGCUGGCGGCGUGCUUAACACAUGCAAGUCGAACGAAGAGCGAUGGAAGCUUGCUUCUAUCAAUCUUAGUGGCGAACGGGUGAGUAACGCGUAAUCAACCUGCCCUUCAGAGGGGGACAACAGUUGGAAACGACUGCUAAUACCGCAUACGAUCUAAUCUCGGCAUCGAGGAUAGAUGAAAGGUGGCCUCUAUGUAUAAGCUAUCACUGAAGGAGGGGAUUGCGUCUGAUUAGCUAGUUGGAGGGGUAACGGCCCACCAAGGCGAUGAUCAGUAGCCGGUCUGAGAGGAUGAACGGCCACAUUGGGACUGAGACACGGCCCAGACUCCUACGGGAGGCAGCAGUGGGGAAUCUUCCGCAAUGGACGAAAGUCUGACGGAGCAACGCCGCGUGAGUGAUGACGGCCGUCGGGUUGUAAAGCUCUGUUAAUCGGGACGAAAGGCCUUCUUGCGAAUAGUGAGAAGGAUUGACGGUACCGGAAUAGAAAGCCACGGCUAACUACGUG
This 510-nucleotide ribosomal RNA is filed under the name uncultured bacterium. RNAcentral's name for it is "partial 16S ribosomal RNA". It matches the Rfam family "Bacterial small subunit ribosomal RNA", at positions 28 to 507 of the family's 1533-position model. The record is from RNAcentral.